This 388-nucleotide ribosomal RNA is filed under the name uncultured bacterium. RNAcentral describes it as "bacterial SSU rRNA". It matches the Rfam family "Bacterial small subunit ribosomal RNA", at positions 28 to 417 of the family's 1533-position model. The record is from RNAcentral.
GACAAACGCUGGCGGCGUGCUUAACACAUGCAAGUCGAGCGGUAAGGCCCUUUCGGGGGUACACGAGCGGCGAACGGGUGAGUAACACGUGGGUGACCUGCCCUCAGCUCUGGGAUAAGCCUGGGAAACCGGGUCUAAUACUGGAUAUGACUCCAUGACGCAUGUUGUGGGGUGGAAAGCCUUGUGCGGCUGAGGAUGGGCCCGCGGCCUAUCAGCUUGUUGGUGGGGUGANGGCCUACCAAGGCGACGACGGGUAGCCGGCCUGAGAGGGCGACCGGCCACACUGGGACUGAGACACGGCCCAGACUCCUACGGGAGGCAGCAGUGGGGAAUCUUGCGCAAUGGGCGAAAGCCUGACGCAGCGACGCCGCGUGAGGGAUGACGGCCU